UACGUAGGGUGCGAGCGUUAAUCGGAAUUACUGGGCGUAAAGCGUGCGCAGGUGGUUUCGCAAGUCAGGCGUGAAAUCCCCGGGCUCAACCUGGGAAUUGCGCUUGAAACUACGAGACUGGAGUACGGCAGAGGGAGGUGGAAUUCCACGUGUAGCGGUGAAAUGCGUAGAGAUGUGGAGGAACACCGAUGGCGAAGGCAGCCUCCUGGGCCGAUACUGACGCUCAUGCACGAAAGCGUGGGGAGCAAACAGG
Molecule: ribosomal RNA, 253 nt
Filed under: uncultured bacterium
Lineage: Bacteria
Description: partial 16S ribosomal RNA
Rfam family: Bacterial small subunit ribosomal RNA
Source: RNAcentral